UAAAAGCCUACCAAGCCUAAGAUCCUUAGCUGUUCUGAGAGGUUGAACAGCCACACUGGGACUGAGACAAGGCCCAGGCUCCAUUUGGAGCCAGCAGUGAGGAAUUUUGGACAAUGAGCGAAGGCUUGAUCCAGCAAUACUACAUGAGUGAAGAAGGCUUUCAAGUUGUAACACUCUUUGGUUGAGGAGGAUAAUGACAGUACUCAACAAAAUAGCCCCGGCUAACUUCGUGCCAGCAGCCGCGGUAAGACGAAGGGGGCGAGCGUUAUCCGGGAUGACUGGACGUAAAGGGUCCGUAGGCAGCAUUUUUUGUUGGAAGUUAAAUAAAAAAGCUUAACUUUUUUCCGCUUCUAAAACGUAAAUGCUUUGAGGUUGAUAGAAGAUAGCAGAAUUUCACAAGGAGGGGUGAUAUCCAGAGAUCUGUGAAGGAAUAUCAGAUGCGAAGGCGGCUAUCUAGAUCAACACUGACGUUGAGGGACGAAAGCAUGGGGAGCAAACAGGAUUAGAUACCCUGGUAGUCCAUGCCCUAAAAGAUGAGUGUUCGUGCUUAGAGAACUUUAGGCACUUAGUUAACACGUUAAACACUCCGCCUGGGGAGUACGAUCGCAAGGUUGGAACUCAAAGGAAUUGACGGGGGCCUAUACAAGUGGUGGAGCAUGUGGUUUAAUGCGAUAAUACGCGCGAAACCUUACCAGUUCUUGACAUAAAAAAGAAAAAGUUUGAAAAAGCAAUUUUAAAGAUUUUUACAGGUGUUGCAUGGCUGUCGUAAGCUCGUGUCGUGAGGUGUUAGGUUAACUCCUUUUAACGGGCGAAACCCCUUUUUUUCGUUGCUACUUAAUUUUAUUUUUAAAGCACUCUAAAAAAACUGCUCCCUUUUUUUAAUUCGGAGAGGAAGGUGGGGAUGACGUCAAGUCCUUAUGGCCCUUAUGAACUGGGCUACACACGUGCUACAAUGGUAAAGACAAUAAGAAGUGAUAGGGUAACCUAAAACCAAUCUUUAAACUUUAUCAAAGUUCGGAUUGUGGACUGCAACUCGUCCAUAUGAAGGUGGAAUCACUAGUAAUCGCACAUCAGCAUGUUGCGGUGAAUUUGUACCUAGGCCUUGUACACACCGCCCGUCACGUGCCGGGAGUUGGC
Molecule: ribosomal RNA, 1137 nt
Filed under: uncultured organism
Description: partial 16S ribosomal RNA
Rfam family: Bacterial small subunit ribosomal RNA
Source: RNAcentral